ACUCUGCAGACUACACAAAUUGGUAUCACGUCAGAGUCACCUUCUAUUAUAAAGACACAGAGUGAAUAUUUCUACAUUGUUCUUUGCAUCACCAGCCACUACUAUGGAGGAUGUAUUUUGUAGGCUGAGACCAGGUUAUGUGCUGUGCUCCAUGUACAAGAAACGAUAGGAAAUGAAUCAGAGUUCCUGUUGCUCCAGAUUCUCAAGAACAUAUGAUGUCAUCAGUGUUUUAGGUUUUGGUCAUUACAACAGGCAUUAUUGGCAAGUGGAAUGAGAACAAGAAGAGAUCCAAGGCUGAAUUCUGCAGUUUUUGGCUUCAUUCCAACUUGAAUUUAUAUAGAAUAUUUUCAAUCUGUGGUUGGUUGAAUCCACAGAUGCAAAACCCACAGACGUGAGGGCUGAUUCUACGUGCAAACUGGCCACAAAAGUCCUGGCUGUCUUCAAAGCUGCAUCCUAACGAGGGCAGAGUACCUGAAGUUCAAAUUCUCAGUUGCUGAAAUACAAGUGGAAACCCUAUUCUAAGAGUUUGCCAAUGCAAUCUAAGAUAUUGGUAUGAUUUGGUUGCCCA
This 568-nucleotide long non-coding RNA is filed under the name Homo sapiens (human). RNAcentral describes it as "non-protein coding lnc-SNX16-2:3". The record is from RNAcentral. Lineage: Eukaryota; Metazoa; Chordata; Mammalia; Primates; Hominidae.